Long non-coding RNA from Gorilla gorilla gorilla (western lowland gorilla), 138 nucleotides. RefSeq lists it as uncharacterized. Lineage: Eukaryota; Metazoa; Chordata; Mammalia; Primates; Hominidae. The transcript has 3 exons. The record is from RefSeq and is a predicted model, not a curated record.
UGCAUUCCCAGCACACAAGCUGGUUGGAAUUUUCCAGGAUGAGUACUGCUAGCAACACCUGGGUUUUCCAUCCUCUGGAAUCUGAGGGAAGCUCUCUAUGGACGACUGCCCCAGCCACAUUGUUUUGUGAGAACACCC